This 446-nucleotide long non-coding RNA is filed under the name Lathyrus oleraceus (garden pea). RNAcentral describes it as "Pisum sativum (pea) long non-coding RNA (PSAT_LNC037677)". Lineage: Eukaryota; Viridiplantae; Streptophyta; Magnoliopsida; Fabales; Fabaceae. The record is from RNAcentral.
AAAUGAUAGUAGUCCUGUAAAAUGCUACUGUAAUAUUCAGGAGCAUUUGUACACUCAUGGGAACAAUUAAAGCAUAGCUUACUUAUUUUUGUACUAAAUGACAUUACAAAUACAUACUUUUCUUCAAAAAUUAAGUCUGCUUCAAUCUUCGCGUGCCUGAUUGGGACUUGAGGCUUCAAAUUGCAUGCUCCUAGACUUCUGCAUCUUUUGGUUGUUUAUAUCCUUGAAAGUUAUAAAAUGAUAUAAAUGGUAUUUUCACUGUGAAGAUAUAAAAAAAAUUGAGAAUUGUAUUUCAUAGGAUCUUUUUAUUGGAACACAAUGCAUGAACAUUUGAGUUACUUCACAAAUGUGAUAUUGUUCAUUGAUCUCUCUGGUUUCAGAUUUUAUCAAUGAAAGUUGCAGCAGUUAAUCCAAUAAUUGAUUUCAACCUUGACAAUUUAUUGGCU